RNAcentral lists this ribosomal RNA (614 nucleotides) under uncultured bacterium. Its description in RNAcentral is "bacterial SSU rRNA". It matches the Rfam family "Bacterial small subunit ribosomal RNA", at positions 56 to 661 of the family's 1533-position model. The record is from RNAcentral.
UGCAAGUCGAGGGGCAGCAUAAUGGAUAGCAAUAUCUAUGGUGGCGACCGGCGCACGGGUGCGUAACGCGUAUGCAACCUACCUUUAACAGGGGGAUAACACUGAGAAAUUGGUACUAAUACCCCAUAAUAUCAUAGAAGGCAUCUUUUAUGGUUGAAAAUUCCGAUGGUUAGAGAUGGGCAUGCGUUGUAUUAGCUAGUUGGUGGGGUAACGGCUCACCAAGGCGACGAUACAUAGGGGGACUGAGAGGUUAACCCCCCACACUGGUACUGAGACACGGACCAGACUCCUACGGGAGGCAGCAGUGAGGAAUAUUGGUCAAUGGACGCAAGUCUGAACCAGCCAUGCCGCGUGCAGGAUGACGGCUCUAUGAGUUGUAAACUGCUUUUGUACGAGGGUAAACGCAGAUACGUGUAUCUGUCUGAAAGUAUCGUACGAAUAAGGAUCGGCUAACUCCGUGCCAGCAGCCGCGGUAAUACGGAGGAUUCAAGCGUUAUCCGGAUUUAUUGGGUUUAAAGGGUGCGUAGGCGGUUUGAUAAGUUAGAGGUGAAAUUUCGGGGCUCAACCCUGAACGUGCCUCUAAUACUGUUGAGCUAGAGAGUAGUUGCGGUAGG